CGACGGGCGGGAACGGAUGGAACGGCGAAUCCUCGCCGGUGCAAGUCCGCGCCACAAGGUAGUCCGGCCACGGCGCGGACGCUCAGCCGAAUGUCGGGACGAACCGAAGGGGGCUUACUCCCCUCAGUC
This 129-nucleotide RNase P RNA is filed under the name Halorubrum sp. E3. RNAcentral's name for it is "partial RNase P RNA component". It matches the Rfam family "Archaeal RNase P". Rfam says of the family: Ribonuclease P (RNase P) is a ubiquitous endoribonuclease, found in archaea, bacteria and eukarya as well as chloroplasts and mitochondria. The record is from RNAcentral. Lineage: Archaea; Methanobacteriati; Methanobacteriota; Halobacteria; Halobacteriales; Haloferacaceae.